ACGCUGGCGGCAGGCCUAACACAUGCAAGUCGAGCGGCAGCACGGGUACUUGUACCUGGUGGCGAGCGGCGGACGGGUGAGUAAUGCCUAGGAAUCUGCCUGGUAGUGGGGGAUAACGCUCGGAAACGGACGCUAAUACCGCAUACGUCCUACGGGAGAAAGCAGGGGACCUUCGGGCCUUGCGCUAUCAGAUGAGCCUAGGUCGGAUUAGCUAGUUGGUGAGGUAAUGGCUCACCAAGGCGACGAUCCGUAACUGGUCUGAGAGGAUGAUCAGUCACACUGGAACUGAGACACGGUCCAGACUCCUACGGGAGGCAGCAGUGGGGAAUAUUGGACAAUGGGCGAAAGCCUGAUCCAGCCAUGCCGCGUGUGUGAAGAAGGUCUUCGGAUUGUAAAGCACUUUAAGUUGGGAGGAAGGGCAUUUACCUAAUACGUUAGUGUUUUGACGUUACCGACAGAAUAAGCACCGGCUAACUCUGUGCCAGCAGCCGCGGUAAUACAGAGGGUGCAAGCGUUAAUCGGAAUUACUGGGCGUAAAGCGCGCGUAGGUGGUUUGUUAAGUUGGAUGUGAAAUCCCCGGGCUCAACCUGGGAACUGCAUCCAAAACUGGCAAGCUAGAGUAGGGCAGAGGGUGGUGGAAUUUCCUGUGUAGCGGUGAAAUGCGUAGAUAUAGGAAGGAACACCAGUGGCGAAGGCGACCACCUGGGCUCAUACUGACACUGAGGUGCGAAAGCGUGGGGAGCAAAC
RNAcentral lists this ribosomal RNA (747 nucleotides) under uncultured bacterium. Its description in RNAcentral is "bacterial SSU rRNA". It matches the Rfam family "Bacterial small subunit ribosomal RNA", at positions 33 to 773 of the family's 1533-position model. The record is from RNAcentral.